Scylla paramamosain (green mud crab) is the source of this 1619-nucleotide long non-coding RNA. RefSeq lists it as uncharacterized. The record is from RefSeq and is a predicted model, not a curated record. Lineage: Eukaryota; Metazoa; Arthropoda; Malacostraca; Decapoda; Portunidae. The transcript has 8 exons.
CUGGGAGGGAUGACACAGUACCAGACGCCAGACACGCCAGACGGAAAGGCAUUGUGUUCAAAGGGUGCCAUAAACUGCUGCUUUAUUUAAUGUGGGACGACACAGCACCGGACGUCAACAGCAAGGCACUCUGUUCCAAGGGUGCCAUAAACUGCUGCGUUAUUUAAUGUAUUUUCGCAGAACAAGACAGUGACAGGGGCGUGGCUUCCUGGAUGUGCUGGUUCAAGCUUGGUGCCUGCCGGGAGGUGCCUACAGGGCCACCAAGGCUAAUAUUGGUAAGAAACUCGCCCACCACUUGUCCAGCCAGGUAAUUUGCACAGUCUGAUGUAAUAGGCGGUACGUGUCACCCACAACAACACAGGGCUGUCAGAUACAAAUGUAGAGGGACGAAAUAGGGAAGCAGGAAGACCACCACCACCACCACCAUCACCACCAGCAGUGUGGAAGAAAGUUUAGAGCAACGGCAACCCUCUGAUCCGGCAAGCAAGUUGGCGGCAGCGAUGGCGGUGGCGGCGGCAGUGGUGGUGAGGUGGACGGCAGGGACAGAGGGGCAGUACAGGCUGCGGACAUCAAGGAGAAGAGGAACGCACGGACAAGCAAGGUGUUAUUCGGCAGUCUGAUCCUGGACCUGCUAGGCUUGAAGGUGGUGCUGCCCGUGUCUUCUGCUCUCCUCGACUGUUACUCCAAGCACAACACCAGCGGCUUGUAUUCCUCUCAGCUCUCCUGUGUGACUUAUUCGCGGCCUCGGCUGUCUACGCACGCACUCUCACUGUGGCUAACAUAAUAUUCUUUGCUGUCUUCUUCCAGGAAUCGCUGCCUGAGGGCAGAAGGAGGAGGGACAUCGGUGCCAGUUUGACCGAGGCUUGGGAGGUGAUCAAUCCUAGGGCUCUGUUCUCCGUCAGCUGUGUCAAGGGCCUGGGCAGAGAAGGCACCGAGAGGCUCUGGAGAAGUUUGGAAGGGGACUACUGCAUCAUCCGCGUCUCAGAAACAUGCUGCCGCCCGAUGCGCCUCGCCCGGUCCGUGCCACCAGACACCACAACAGAAUAACGCCCCUGAAGGCGCCGCGCACGGACCGGUACAGACUCAGUGCGAUUCCCACCAUGCCUGGAGUUAACGCUGAUCUUCGCGACCCACCACAAGCAUAGUUACGACUCGUUGGCGCAGGACCGCAAGUUUUCCUUCCUGGGCCUGGUCAUGGCAGUUACACAGAGAGGGUUUAUGCGAAGUGUUAAGACUGGAACUGAAAAAGCAACUGCCAAUUAGGCACACACCUACAUUGUGAUGCAGCUCCUUGGAGGUGGAGAGCUGGCUGCCUCAGAGGAUCAGGAAACACGAGAGGUUCACAGAGGCUCGCCUCGGGCUUCGGUCGUCGUGAGGAACCUGGUGUCAGCAGUUCACUACGUGCACAGGAAAAGCAUCAGUGUUCACGGAGACCUAAAGCCAGACAGGGGUGAAAAGGGUUGGUGUUGAGGAUAGACAGAAAAGAAAAGAAAGGAAAGGUAAAAAAAGGAAGUUUUUUUGCAUUGAUUUUCCAUCUGCUUAUUUUAAAGAAUUUAUUGCAUGGAAUAUUAUUGAUCUCCAUCAUUUGUAUGGCCUUUAUAAUAAAAAGUAUGAAUUUA